This 2906-nucleotide ribosomal RNA is filed under the name Escherichia coli. Its description in RNAcentral is "23S ribosomal RNA". It matches the Rfam family "Bacterial large subunit ribosomal RNA". The record is from RNAcentral. Lineage: Bacteria; Pseudomonadati; Pseudomonadota; Gammaproteobacteria; Enterobacterales; Enterobacteriaceae.
GGUUAAGCGACUAAGCGUACACGGUGGAUGCCCUGGCAGUCAGAGGCGAUGAAGGACGUGCUAAUCUGCGAUAAGCGUCGGUAAGGUGAUAUGAACCGUUAUAACCGGCGAUUUCCGAAUGGGGAAACCCAGUGUGUUUCGACACACUAUCAUUAACUGAAUCCAUAGGUUAAUGAGGCGAACCGGGGGAACUGAAACAUCUAAGUACCCCGAGGAAAAGAAAUCAACCGAGAUUCCCCCAGUAGCGGCGAGCGAACGGGGAGCAGCCCAGAGCCUGAAUCAGUGUGUGUGUUAGUGGAAGCGUCUGGAAAGGCGCGCGAUACAGGGUGACAGCCCCGUACACAAAAAUGCACAUACUGUGAGCUCGAUGAGUAGGGCGGGACACGUGGUAUCCUGUCUGAAUAUGGGGGGACCAUCCUCCAAGGCUAAAUACUCCUGACUGACCGAUAGUGAACCAGUACCGUGAGGGAAAGGCGAAAAGAACCCCGGCGAGGGGAGUGAAAAAGAACCUGAAACCGUGUACGUACAAGCAGUGGGAGCACAGAGCAAUCUGUGUGACUGCGUACCUUUUGUAUAAUGGGUCAGCGACUUAUAUUCUGUAGCAAGGUUAACCGAAUAGGGGAGCCGAAGGGAAACCGAGUCUUAACUGGGCGUUAAGUUGCAGGGUAUAGACCCGAAACCCGGUGAUCUAGCCAUGGGCAGGUUGAAGGUUGGGUAACACUAACUGGAGGACCGAACCGACUAAUGUUGAAAAAUUAGCGGAUGACUUGUGGCUGGGGGUGAAAGACCAAUCAAACCGGGAGAUAGCUGGUUCUCCCCGAAAGCUAUUUAGGUAGCGCCUCGUGAAUUCAUCUCCGGGGGUAGAGCACUGUUUCGGCAAGGGGGUCAUCCCGACUUACCAACCCGAUGCAAACUGCGAAUACCGGAGAAUGUUAUCACGGGAGACACACGGCGGGUGCUAACGUCCGUCGUGAAGAGGGAAACAACCCAGACCGCCAGCUAAGGUCCCAAAGUCAUGGUUAAGUGGGAAACGAUGUGGGAAGGCCCAGACAGCCAGGAUGUUGGCUUAGAAGCAGCCAUCAUUUAAAGAAAGCGUAAUAGCUCACUGGUCGAGUCGGCCUGCGCGGAAGAUGUAACGGGGCUAAACCAUGCACCGAAGCUGCGGCAGCGACGCUGAUGCGUUGUUGGGUAGGGGAGCGUUCUGUAAGCCUGUGAAGGUGUGCUGUGAGGCAUGCUGGAGGUAUCAGAAGUGCGAAUGCUGACAUAAGUAACGAUAAAGCGGGUGAAAAGCCCGCUCGCCGGAAGACCAAGGGUUCCUGUCCAACGUUAAUCGGGGCAGGGUGAGUCGACCCCUAAGGCGAGGCCGAAAGGCGUAGUCGAUGGGAAACAGGUUAAUAUUCCUGUACUUGGUGUUACUGCGAAGGGGGGACGGAGAAGGCUAUGUUGGCCGGGCGACGGUUGUCCCGGUUUAAGCGUGUAGGCUGGUUUUCCAGGCAAAUCCGGAAAAUCAAGGCUGAGGCGUGAUGACGAGGCACUACGGUGCUGAAGCAACAAAUGCCCUGCUUCCAGGAAAAGCCUCUAAGCAUCAGGUAACAUCAAAUCGUACCCCAAACCGACACAGGUGGUCAGGUAGAGAAUACCAAGGCGCUUGAGAGAACUCGGGUGAAGGAACUAGGCAAAAUGGUGCCGUAACUUCGGGAGAAGGCACGCUGAUAUGUAGGUGAAGUCCCUCGCGGAUGGAGCUGAAAUCAGUCGAAGAUACCAGCUGGCUGCAACUGUUUAUUAAAAACACAGCACUGUGCAAACACGAAAGUGGACGUAUACGGUGUGACGCCUGCCCGGUGCCGGAAGGUUAAUUGAUGGGGUCAGCGCAAGCGAAGCUCUUGAUCGAAGCCCCGGUAAACGGCGGCCGUAACUAUAACGGUCCUAAGGUAGCGAAAUUCCUUGUCGGGUAAGUUCCGACCUGCACGAAUGGCGUAAUGAUGGCCAGGCUGUCUCCACCCGAGACUCAGUGAAAUUGAACUCGCUGUGAAGAUGCAGUGUACCCGCGGCAAGACGGAAAGACCCCGUGAACCUUUACUAUAGCUUGACACUGAACAUUGAGCCUUGAUGUGUAGGAUAGGUGGGAGGCUUAGAAGUGUGGACGCCAGUCUGCAUGGAGCCGACCUUGAAAUACCACCCUUUAAUGUUUGAUGUUCUAACGUUGACCCGUAAUCCGGGUUGCGGACAGUGUCUGGUGGGUAGUUUGACUGGGGCGGUCUCCUCCUAAAGAGUAACGGAGGAGCACGAAGGUUGGCUAAUCCUGGUCGGACAUCAGGAGGUUAGUGCAAUGGCAUAAGCCAGCUUGACUGCGAGCGUGACGGCGCGAGCAGGUGCGAAAGCAGGUCAUAGUGAUCCGGUGGUUCUGAAUGGAAGGGCCAUCGCUCAACGGAUAAAAGGUACUCCGGGGAUAACAGGCUGAUACCGCCCAAGAGUUCAUAUCGACGGCGGUGUUUGGCACCUCGAUGUCGGCUCAUCACAUCCUGGGGCUGAAGUAGGUCCCAAGGGUAUGGCUGUUCGCCAUUUAAAGUGGUACGCGAGCUGGGUUUAGAACGUCGUGAGACAGUUCGGUCCCUAUCUGCCGUGGGCGCUGGAGAACUGAGGGGGGCUGCUCCUAGUACGAGAGGACCGGAGUGGACGCAUCACUGGUGUUCGGGUUGUCAUGCCAAUGGCACUGCCCGGUAGCUAAAUGCGGAAGAGAUAAGUGCUGAAAGCAUCUAAGCACGAAACUUGCCCCGAGAUGAGUUCUCCCUGACUCCUUGAGAGUCCUGAAGGAACGUUGAAGACGACGACGUUGAUAGGCCGGGUGUGUAAGCGCAGCGAUGCGUUGAGCUAACCGGUACUAAUGAACCGUGAGGCUUAACCUU